UACGUAGGGUGCAAGCGUUGUCCGGAAUUAUUGGGCGUAAAGAGCUCGUAGGCGGUUUGUCGCGUCUGCUGUGAAAACCCGAGUCUCAACCUCGGGCCUGCAGUGGGUACGGGCAGACUAGAGUGCGGUAGGGGAGAUUGGAAUUCCUGGUGUAGCGGUGGAAUGCGCAGAUAUCAGGAGGAACACCAAUGGCGAAGGCAGAUCUCUGGGCCGUAACUGACGCUGAGGAGCGAAAGCAUGGGGAGCGAACAGG
Molecule: ribosomal RNA, 253 nt
Filed under: uncultured bacterium
Lineage: Bacteria
Description: partial 16S ribosomal RNA
Rfam family: Bacterial small subunit ribosomal RNA
Source: RNAcentral